Molecule: transfer RNA, 58 nt
Filed under: Oryzihumus leptocrescens
Lineage: Bacteria; Bacillati; Actinomycetota; Actinomycetes; Micrococcales; Intrasporangiaceae
Description: tRNA-Thr
Rfam family: tRNA
About the family: Transfer RNA (tRNA) molecules are approximately 80 nucleotides in length. Their secondary structure includes four short double-helical elements and three loops (D, anti-codon, and T loops).
Source: RNAcentral
GCUGCGUGAAACCUGUCUUGUAAACAGGUGGUUAGGGGUUCGAGUCCCCUCGUCGGCU